GACGAACCGUGCGAACGUUAUUCGGAAUCACUGGGCUUAAAGCGCGUGUAGGCGGGGGGGCGCGUCGGCCGCUGAAAUCCCCCGGCUCAACCGGGGAAGGGGCGCCGAGACGGCCGGCCUGGAGGGACGUAGGGGGGGCUGGAACUUCCGGUGGAGCGGUGAAAUGCGUUGAGAUCGGAAGGAACGCCCGUGGCGAAAGCGAGCCCCUGGACGUCUACUGACGCUGAGACGCGAAAGCCAGGGGAGCGAACGGG
Molecule: ribosomal RNA, 254 nt
Filed under: uncultured bacterium
Lineage: Bacteria
Description: partial 16S ribosomal RNA
Rfam family: Bacterial small subunit ribosomal RNA
Source: RNAcentral